RNAcentral lists this ribosomal RNA (429 nucleotides) under Bacillota bacterium. RNAcentral describes it as "Firmicutes bacterium partial 16S ribosomal RNA". It matches the Rfam family "Bacterial small subunit ribosomal RNA", at positions 355 to 776 of the family's 1533-position model. The record is from RNAcentral. Lineage: Bacteria; Bacillati; Bacillota.
UAGGGAAUCUUCGGCAAUGGACGGAAGUCUGACCGAGCAACGCCGCGUGAGUGAAGAAGGUUUUCGGAUCGUAAAGCUCUGUUGUUAGAGAAGAACGUUGGUAGGAGCGGAAAAUCUACCAAGUGACGGUAACUAACCAGAAAGGGACGGCUAACUACGUGCCCGCAGCCGCGGUAAUACGUAGGUCCCGAGCGUUGUCCGGAUUUAUUGGGCGUAAAGCGAGCGCAGGCGGUUCUUUAAGUCUGAAGUUAAAGGAAGUGGCUUAACCAUUGUACGCUUUGGAAACUGGAGGACUUGAGUGCAGAAGGGGAGAGUGGAAUUCCAUGUGUAGCGGUGAAAUGCGUAGAUAUAUGGAGGAACACCGGUGGCGAAAGCGGCUCUCUGGUCUGUAACUGACGCUGAGGCUCGAAAGCGUGGGGAGCAAACAGG